GGGUGAGUAACGCGUGAGAAUCUAUCUUCAGGUCGGGGACAACAGUUAGAAAUGACUGCUAAUACCGGAUGUGCCGAAAGGUGAAAGAUUAAUUGCCUGAAAUUGAGCUCGCGUCAGAUUAGCUAGUAGGUGGUGUAAGAGACUACCUAGGCAUCGAUCUGUAGCUGGUCUGAGAGGACGAUCAGCCACACUGGAACUGAGACACGGUCCAGACUCCUACGGGAGGCAGCAGUGGGGAAUUUUCCGCAAUGGGCGAAAGCCUGACGGAGCAAUACCGCGUGAGGGACGAAGGCUUUUGGGUCGUAAACCUCUUUUCUCAAGGAAGAUAAUGACGGUACUUGAGGAAUAAGCAUCGGCUAACUCUGUGCCAGCAGCCGCGGUAAUACAGAGGAUGCAAGCGUUAUCCGGAAUGAUUGGGCGUAAAGCGUCCGCAGGUGGUUUUGUAAGUCUGCUGUUAAAGCGUGUGGCUCAACCACAUACAGGCAGUGGAAACUAUAAGACUAGAGUAUGUUAGGGGUAGAGGGAAUUCCCAGUGUAGCGGUGAAAUGCGUAGAGAUUGGGAAGAACACCGGUGGCGAAAGCGCUCUGCUAGGACAAUACUGACACUGAGGGACGAAAGCUAGGGGAGCGAAUGGGAUUAGAUACCCCAGUAGUCCUAGCCGUAAACGAUGGGAUACUAGGCGUUGCCCGUAUCGACCCGGGCAUUGUCGUAGCUAACGCGUUAAGUAUCCCGCCUGGGGAGUACGCACGCAAGUGUGAAACUCAAAGGAAUUGACGGGGGCCCGCACAAGCGGUGGAGUAUGUGGUUUAAUUCGAUGCAACGCGAAGAACCUUACCAGGACUUGACAUGUCGCGAACCCUGCUGAAAGGUGGGGGUGCCUUCGGGAGCGCGAACACAGGUGGUGCAUGGCUGUCGUCAGCUCGUGUCGUGAGAUGUUGGGUUAAGUCCCGCAACGAGCGCAACCCUCGUUUUUAGUUGCCAUCAUUAAGUUGGGCACUCUAGAGAGACUGCCGGUGACAAACCGGAGGAAGGUGGGGAUGACGUCAAGUCAGCAUGCCCCUUACGUCCUGGGCUACACACGUACUACAAUGCUACGAACAAAGGGCAGCUAGUUAGCAAUAACAUGCAAAUCUCAGAAAUCGUAGCUCAGUUCAGAUUGAAAGCUGCAACUCGCCUUCAUGAAGUCGGAAUCGCUAGUAAUUGCAGGUCAGCAUACUGCAGUGAAUUCGUUCCCGACCUGUACACACCGCCCGUCACAUAUGGAAGCUGGUCACGCCCGAAGUAGUUAUCCUAACAGUUCGCUGGGGGAGACUCCGAAGGUAGGGCUGGUGACUGGGGUGAAGUCGUAACAAGGUAGCCGUACCGGAAGGUGUGGCUGGAUCACCUCCUUU
Molecule: ribosomal RNA, 1392 nt
Filed under: Calothrix sp. PCC 7103
Lineage: Bacteria; Bacillati; Cyanobacteriota; Cyanophyceae; Nostocales; Calotrichaceae
Description: 16S ribosomal RNA
Rfam family: Bacterial small subunit ribosomal RNA
Source: RNAcentral